CCUGGAAGAGGUGCUUUCCCCAACAGUUGGGUUCUCUGUGAAGCCCAUUCAGGUGAGCCCAGGUGGAAACGGCAAUAGAUCAACCAAAGGAAAAUCGCAAAGAAGAAUCAGAAGACAUCCACACCGAGCACCGGAGCCAAAUCUCUGGGAGAGACAGAGGCCCUGUGAACGCUUCGCCUGACGUCAAUCGGGGCUGCUCUUCUGUGUCUGCGGCUUCGACGGAAGGAGGCCGAAUUAGGGGGCCGAGCUGAAAAGGCAGAGGACUGGCGUGGCAUAAACAGCCCAGGAAAGACUCCAGGGAGGCCAGGACGCGAGCCCCCACCUCCUCUGCUGCUGGCCUGGACAGCAGCUCCCUCUGAAUGGUUGGGAUCGCUUAUGGAGAAGGUCCACAGCCUUGCUCCAUCCAGACCUCUCUUGGGGAAGCUUCUGGUUUCAAUGGCUCAAUAAGCUAGUCCACAGGUGGGCUCUGAUAGCUGACAAUGGCUCGACCUGUCCUCGCUGUGGUCCCCAGGCUUAUAGCAUCAACAUCACCUGGAAACUUGUUAGAAAUACAAAUGACUGGGCUCCACCCCAAAUCUAUGAA
Molecule: long non-coding RNA, 583 nt
Organism: Bos taurus (domestic cattle)
Lineage: Eukaryota; Metazoa; Chordata; Mammalia; Artiodactyla; Bovidae
Source: Ensembl